CUUUUUUAAAAAGCCACAAUACCCUUAUCACAUAUAAAAUGUGUGCCAUUAUCACUCUUCCUAUCAUGAACUCUCCAGUCAGUGCUCACAUUUCCCAGUGUCUCAUGAAUGUCAUCAUUUCUCUUUUUUCAACUUGUUUGUUUGAAUCAGGAUACAAAUAAGGUCACUGUGUUCCAAUUGGUUUAUGUGUCUUUAAGUUACUUUGUUUGAAAGUCAUUUGGAAUAGUUUUUCUCUUUGUGGUAUUAAAGUAAAUUAAAAUGAAGACCAGGCCUAAAGAAUCCCUGAGCAAACAAAACCAGUUAGGCUCAGAAGUAGCCAACAAACUUAUAAUUAUAUAAUGAGGGACUUUCCUAUGGGAUAGAUUAAAUAAGGCAACUGUAUAACUGUAACCAAUCAAAUAUUUUCUUUGCUUUACUUCUGUGUUCCUUGUAUAAAAACCCAUCCCUUGUGUUCCCUCACUUCUGGUUUGGAACUGCCCAAUUCAUGAAUUGUUGUUUGCUCCUAUAAAUUCUUUAAAAUUUUAUUGUGCCUCAGUUUACUUUUUUCUUAUUUUUAGAGACAGGGUCCAGAUCUGUUACCCAGGCUGAAGUGCAGUAGCAUGAUCUUAGCUCACUGCAGCCUCAAAUUCCUCAAUCCUCCUGCAUCAGCCUCCUGAGAAGCCAGGACUACAGGUGCACAGCAGCACACCUGGCUAAUAUAUAUAUUAGAAACAGGGUCUUGCUAUGUUCCCCAGGCUGGGCUAGAGCUCCCAGCCUCAAGUGAUCCUCCUGCCUCAGCCUCCUAAAGUGCUGGCAGAGGUGAGCCACUGGGCCUGGCCUCAGUUUAAUUUGAAUGGUGGUUAAAUAAUUAAUUCAAUGUGUAGAUUUAUUUGCUUUAUUUUACUUUAGGUUUUUAGAAUUUUUAAAGCUUUUUAUUUAGAAAUUUAUUUAAAGAUUUUAAAUUUUAUUUCUGGUUCCAAAAUCUAUCAUACAAAUAUAUCCAGAAAGGUCUAGCUUUUAUGCCCCUUUCAAUCCUUUCCCUUCCCCAUAACUAUUAAUUUUUAAACAUUAUUCUUUAUUAUUACAUUAAUUUAAUAUGUAUCACAUACAUAAUGCAUAUGUAUUCGUAUCCCUCCCUCCUUUUUUUUUUUUUUUGUUUGAGAUGAGGAUCUCACUAUGUUGCCCAGGCUGGACUUGAAAUCCUAAAUUCAAGCAAUCCUCCUGCCUCAACCUCGAGUAGCUGGGACUACAGGUAUACGCCUCCACGUUUGGCUCUUCCUUCCUUUUAGUAGGGGCUGCUGUCAUGCAAGGAGGUCUGGCAGUGGAGGAAGAAGACAUGAGCCUUGGGCCAGACUCUUACUGGAUUCCCACCCCACCUGCCCCGUCUUCAGCAGACAAGCUGGUACCCAGCACAAAGGCUCCAGCUGCUGAGCUGUGUGUGGGAGCCUGGUCUCUGGGUGCCCAGAAUGAAGGGUCAGACCCAGGUCACUGCCUGACUCUUUCUUUCAAGGACCGAAGUAAGAACUACAGGCCUAACAGUAACAUCCCUGGCUAUUUGUAGAAGUCCGCUUGGUCGGUCCAUGCUCUAUAACAUGAAUUUCUCAUACAACCCAUUUUUAGAUGGGGAAACAAGAGCUCAGAGAGGCUAGGUAACUUGUUCAAGAUCACACAGCUCUGAGUGCAAGUGUUCAAACAUAGUCCCCACUUUCCAUCCGUCUCCAAAUCCUGUGCAGUUUCUGGAAUAUUCUGCUGUCA
Molecule: long non-coding RNA, 1734 nt
Filed under: Homo sapiens (human)
Lineage: Eukaryota; Metazoa; Chordata; Mammalia; Primates; Hominidae
Description: HSALNT0221686
Source: RNAcentral